Molecule: transfer RNA, 78 nt
Filed under: Bacillus subtilis
Lineage: Bacteria; Bacillati; Bacillota; Bacilli; Caryophanales; Bacillaceae
Description: tRNA-Ala
Rfam family: tRNA
About the family: Transfer RNA (tRNA) molecules are approximately 80 nucleotides in length. Their secondary structure includes four short double-helical elements and three loops (D, anti-codon, and T loops). Further hydrogen bonds mediate the characteristic L-shaped molecular structure. tRNAs have two regions of fundamental functional importance: the anti-codon, which is responsible for specific mRNA codon recognition, and the 3' end, to which the tRNAs corresponding amino acid is attached (by aminoacyl-tRNA synthetases). tRNAs cope with the degeneracy of the genetic code in two manners: having more than one tRNA (with a specific anti-codon) for a particular amino acid; and 'wobble' base-pairing, i.e. permitting non-standard base-pairing at the 3rd anti-codon position.
Source: RNAcentral
GGGGUACCUUAGCUCAGCUGGGAGAGCGCCUGCUUUGCACGCAGGAGGUCAGCGGUUCGAGCCCGCUAGGCUCCACCA